This 490-nucleotide long non-coding RNA is filed under the name Solanum tuberosum (potato). Its description in RNAcentral is "long non-coding RNA (STUB_LNC001392)". The record is from RNAcentral. Lineage: Eukaryota; Viridiplantae; Streptophyta; Magnoliopsida; Solanales; Solanaceae.
AUUAGGGCAUAAAAUAAUAAGAUAUGUGAAACUCAUGCUCUUCUUGUUCUUCUUUUUAAACCAUUACACCCUGACUAUAAAGAAAACUCAAAACCCUAAUUGUUUAAGAUUUUCUUUUUACCUAUGACGGCGUGAGUAGGAGAUCAAGAAGAUGAAGAGCAAAUCACGAGUCCCAAGCAAAGCAAAAAAAAAAAAAUGAAGAUGAAGGAGAAAUUCUUGAGAAAAUUUGAAAAACUUGAAGUAAGAGAUGAUUGUUUGGUUUUGUUGAGAGAACCGAGAAAGAGACCAUUUUGAUUUAAGAGGGUCAACUGGGGGUCCAAUAGUGGGGAUUGAGAUGUUUUUGUAUUUUAUAAAAUAUUAAGAAGUUUAAGAAUUACGUUUCACACCCGUUUAACUUAAUCUCCUAAUCAGUAGAAGGUUUGACUUGGGCUUAGUCAAAUUGUCAUAUUUUUGUAAGUAUAACUUACAUAAAUCUCAUAGUGUACGGAGU